Mytilus californianus (California mussel) is the source of this 256-nucleotide long non-coding RNA. RefSeq lists it as uncharacterized. The record is from RefSeq and is a predicted model, not a curated record. NCBI's taxonomy places the organism in Eukaryota, Metazoa, Mollusca, Bivalvia, Mytilida, Mytilidae. The transcript has 4 exons.
UUUAGGUUAUUUCUGGGACAUGUUUCAUGGUAUUAGGAGUAAGGCUUGGAGGCCUACCACAGCUAAGAUAUAAGUUAGCUUUCAGUUUGUUCAUAAGGAUUGAGACUGGAAAUGACAAUUGAAGCAGACUUUUAAGGCUGAUGUAAUGACAAUGAUUUCAUGGUGUUGGGAGUAAAAAUUGGAGAUCUGAUACUGCUAACAUGUUGGUUAGCAUCACAGCUUGUCCAUAGGGAUACUGACUAGGGUAGCAUUUGGA